RNAcentral lists this ribosomal RNA (539 nucleotides) under uncultured bacterium. Its description in RNAcentral is "bacterial SSU rRNA". It matches the Rfam family "Bacterial small subunit ribosomal RNA", at positions 777 to 1319 of the family's 1533-position model. The record is from RNAcentral.
AAUAGAUACCCCGGUAGUCCACGCCGUAAACGAUGAAUACUAGGUGUAGGAGGUAUCGACCCCUUCUGUGCCGCAGUUAACACAAUAAGUAUUCCGCCUGGGGAGUACGAUCGCAAGAUUAAAACUCAAAGGAAUUGACGGGGGCCCGCACAAGCAGCGGAGCAUGUGGUUUAAUUCGAAGCAACGCGAAGAACCUUACCUAGACUUGACAUCUCCUGAAUUACCCUUAACCGGGGAAGCCCUUCGGGGCAGGAAGACAGGUGGUGCAUGGUUGUCGUCAGCUCGUGUCGUGAGAUGUUGGGUUAAGUCCCGCAACGAGCGCAACCCUUAUCAUUAGUUGCUACCAUUAAGUUGAGCACUCUAGUGAGACUGCCACGGUUAACGUGGAGGAAGGUGGGGAUGACGUCAAAUCAUCAUGCCCCUUAUGUCUAGGGCUACACACGUGCUACAAUGGUGAGUACAAAGAGAUGCAAUACCGUGAGGUGGAGCCAAACUCAAAAACUCAUCCCAGUUCGGAUUGUAGGCUGAAACUCGCCUAC